GAUGAAAUUGGCUGUCCCUGCCAAAUCAUCAUUGGGUGUCAUAUUUAUUGUAGGCUUCAAGGAGGAGAGAGUUACAGCCUUACAGAUUAGUUCAGAGAUAUCAUUCCAUGAAUAAGGAAGAGUAUAUCUCAGAAUUGUCCCUGCCAGUACAGUCUGUUAGAAAAGUGCUAUGUGCUCUGAUACAACCCAGACUUUAAUGUGUUCUGAAGUUCCAAUGUCUUUCAAUAAUCUCUUUCCUGAUUGCUGCAAUUCUGCCUUAUCAUCCAUAAGGCAGGAAUGUUGCACUACAGCCCUCAUAUUCAGUUAACACUACAGAAAUAGGAAAAAACCUUGACACAAAACCCCAACUUUGGUACAAAAUAAAAUCAUUACAACACUUCAAUUCAACUCACCUCUUCAUACUGCCUCACAGUAAUCAGAGCCUUUUUGUCACUCAGAGUAAAUUAACCCACUGGGAUAUAACUCAUUUCAAUAGAAGAACCCACCUAAUUUUCAAUGAAGCUUUUGUAUGUUAGAAAUACUGUAAAUCACUUAGCUGAUAAGGCAUUAGGUUAUUGUGUGCAUCACCUGCACACAUCUACCACUCAAAACUCUGCCCACAAUUCUGACAAUCAAUGUGACAACACAGCCAAUCAAAUGCUAUCCUACAGCAGCUUCCUAGGAAACCAACACAUACUGUAUCUAUGGAAACUAACUGCAACACACUGGAUGAAACAUGAAGAAAAAUCCUGCAGGCUUUUUCCCCACUUUAAAAAAAAUCCCUUUGUGAGUGCUGCUCUUGUAGAAUAGAGAGUGUGAGAAGAAAAGCAGAAUAAACAUUAAAGAUCACUCCAUACAAGGAAAAACAAAAUUCUGAACCUUUGACGUUCUUCUAUUCCACUGAGCAUAGAUUCUGUUCUGUUCUGACAAGUGAAGUGAAGAGAAGUUGGAGGUCUGUCUGCAGCCCAGCACAGCAAAGAAGGAAUUGAGAGGAGUCGGGAUGCAUGCAUGAACUCCAAAGGUGCAAACAACACGCACCGCUCUCACACAUGCGCGGCACAACUGGACACUGCUGGAAAAGUCUCCAAUCUGUGGCAAUGGGACAAGCCUGACACCAACAGUAGAGCACCCACAGGGACAUCACUCAAAGAAGGUUUUGUUUUGGAAUCAGAGUGAAUUCUUGACUUAAAAAAACCACCUUUAUUAAAAUUUAAAAAAUUAAAAAUUCUUCAAAUUUGAUUGGCAUUUAUUAAUAGUUUCAGUGCCUCAAAACUUUCUAGCUUUUUUUUUUUUUUUUUUUGGCCUAUCUCUCCAGAGAGAGUUUUCUGUAGAUAAGUACUCUGAACAAUCAUGACCUUUCAAACACUGCACCCACAAUCAGUGGUCACUUCUGGCCUCUCUCUUUCUUUGCCUCAGCACCCUGUUUAUCAAACAGAGAUAAUAUCUCCUUAUCCACAGGGGGUAAUGAGAAUCUAAAUUAAUGAAUGUUUGUGAAACACCUAAGUAGUAUAGUGGCGAGUGAUACAGAAAAGCCCAGGAGGAAAUUAAUAAUACUGUCCUCAGAGCAUGAUUUGAAUAAUGUCUAGUGAAUAAACGCUAGAACCAGAUAUUGAAGAAUGAGGAUAAGACAAACAGUGCAGAGCUAUUCAUUCACUGAACACUGUCCAUCACGUGCAUUUGCUGUGGCAGACAUCCUCUGGAAAA
Pelodiscus sinensis (Chinese soft-shelled turtle) is the source of this 1683-nucleotide long non-coding RNA. RefSeq lists it as uncharacterized. NCBI's taxonomy places the organism in Eukaryota, Metazoa, Chordata, Testudines, Trionychidae. The record is from RefSeq and is a predicted model, not a curated record.